This 497-nucleotide ribosomal RNA is filed under the name uncultured bacterium. RNAcentral's name for it is "partial 16S ribosomal RNA". It matches the Rfam family "Bacterial small subunit ribosomal RNA", at positions 28 to 507 of the family's 1533-position model. The record is from RNAcentral.
GAUGAACGCUGGCGGCGUGCCUAAUACAUGCAAGUCGAGCGAACAGAUGAGGAGCUUGCUCCUCUGACGUUAGCGGCGGACGGGUGAGUAACACGUGGAUAACCUACCUAUAAGACUGGGAUAACUUCGGGAAACCGGAGCUAAUACCGGAUAAUAUAUUGAACCGCAUGGUUCAAUAGUGAAAGACGGUUUUGCUGUCGCUUAUAGAUGGAUCUGCGCCGCAUUAGCUAGUUGGUAAGGUAACGGCUUACCAAGGCGACGAUGCGUAGCCGACCUGAGAGGGUGAUCGGCCACACUGGAACUGAGACACGGUCCAGACUCCUACGGGAGGCAGCAGUAGGGAAUCUUCCGCAAUGGGCGAAAGCCUGACGGAGCAACGCUGCGUGAGUGAUGAAGGUCUUCGGAUCGUAAAACUCUGUUAUUAGGGAAGAACAAAUGUGUAAGUAACUAUGCACGUCUUGACGGUACCUAAUCAGAAAGCCACGGCUAACUACGUG